GGGUUGCAAAAACUACAGUUUGUAGUGUGUCAUGUGCCUCUACUUCUGGUGCUAUACUGCAUAACAGAUACAACAGAAGACAGAGAUGAUGGGAUGAAGCAUUUCCUGCACAAGAACAAACAUAAUGAGAUCAAACAUGUACUGAACCGUGCCAGAAUUGAAUCCCAGCAGCCAAGGUAUAUAAAAAACAAAAGCAUGCAUGUGUGUCUCUGUGAGUGUGAAUGUCAGCUGGACAACCAACGAGCCAUUUGAGGUAACUCUUGGGAAGCUGAUAGGCUCCACUGACUCUGAUAAAAGUGAGUGUGUGUUUUUGGUGGGUGAAGUCCGAUGAGGUGAUGUCACACUCCAUUAUUCUCAGAUAGCUCAAACUGUGUGUGUGUGCAUACGUAUGAGUGUGUGAGAGCGGUCUCUAAGGAAAGGCUGUCAGGAUGGACUGGAGGCCAGUGCUAACAGAUCAUUGGAAUAGAGACUCAGGACUGUUUGGAUUACUAACAUGGAGGAAGGCAAAAGAGAGGGAGACAGGAUGAGAGUUUAGGUAGUAUCGCCUACAGCCGGUGUCACAUUUGAGAUAACUGUUGCUGUCUGGUAACUGUAACUGACAAUCUUACUAAGGUGAACAAUCACGCUUUGCACGUAAAAAUAACUUGAAAUGUCACUUUAUAAAUCCUACAUCAGUCUUUAAAAGUCAUGGUCUUUUUCAGGAUCAUUCCACUUCCACGAACCAGAGUGAAGAAGGAAAGGAAAGGAAAAGAAAGCAAAGGAAAGGAAAGGAAAGGAAACAAAACGAUACCAAACCAUACCAUACGAAAAGAAAAGAAACAAAAGGAAACAAUAUGAAAGGAAACGAAAUGAAACAAAACAAAAUGAACCACAAGAAAAGGAAAGGAAAGGACACAAAAGGAAAGGAAAGGAAAGGAGAUGAUACGAAAUGAAAUGAAAUGAAAAGCAAGGAAAGGAAGGGAAAGGAAAGGGAACUAAAUGAAAGGAAAGGAAACGAAACAAAAGCAAAUGAAAGGAAUGAAAAGAAAGUGAAGGAAAAGGAAAGGAAAGGAAACUAAACUAAACUAAACUAAAUGAAAGGAAAGGACACGAAAGGACAUGAAAGGAAACAAAAGGAAAUGAAAAGAAAUGAAAGGAAUGAAAGGAAAUGAAAGGAAAAGGAAAGAAAAAAGAAGGAAUGAAAAGAAACAGAAAGAAACGAAUCGAAAGGAAAGGAUAAAAUAAGAUAGGUUAGAUAAGAAAAAUGGGUGACGUAGAGAUAGGAUAGGAUGAAAUAGGGUAAAUUAAAAAAUGGUUUGAUUGACUGAGUCGGAAAUCAUAAUUUGAAAACUAAUGAAAUCAAGUGUCUUCAGAUGCUAACAGAUUAGAUCAGGGCCAAAAUAUGAUUGGAUGGAUAGGAAAAGGUGAGUAAGAGGAACGUUUGAUGGGAAAGGAUAGGACAUGAACAAGAAAAGAAGAGUGCAUGAGAUAGGGUGAGAUAGGGCAAGAUGAGUUUGUGUCAUAAUAAAUGUGGAAAAAUAAGGUAGGAUCAAAGUGGAUAUGGUUACAUAGGGAAGCUCGAGGUCAGAUAGGAUCAUACUGGAUCAGAUCAGACAGGUUCUGUUUAGAUUUGAAAGGCUCAGCUUGGAUGGAAUAGAAUAUAAUGAAAUAGUGUGAAAUACACUCAAAAUAAUUACAACAGGAUCAAUGUUGUGUUCGAGCAGGGUUAAGCAUGCAGACUAUGUGCUUACUCUGAUCGUAAAUAAACUGCAAAAACAAAGGCAACAGGAUCAGAACAGCAGAACAGCAUAGGGUCAGAUUUUCAUAUUGACAAGGAUAAAUCACCAUAUAAUGAGACCAGAAAUGAGAGAUACUGGAGAAUAAAUAACAGGAGAGAUAAUUUAGCUUUUGAAAAAGUCCAUACCUGUAUGUGUGACACUUAAGUGAUUUGUGGAACAGUAGACAGAAGAGAUAUGACUCAUUGUUCACACCUGGAUCAGGAUGAUAAAUUCCCAAAUUCUUUCAGAGGUGAUUCGAAACCUGUAAUCACUGCUUCUGAAGACACAAAAACAGAUCAUUAGACAGCAGCCACCCUGAUAAUCGACUCAUCCUGGAUGAUGUCAGGACCUCCACAGGGGAAAACCAGCGAAAGGGUGAUGUCAUGGGCUCAAAUCUAUUGAUGUCCAAAGCUGCACAUUGGUGUCUGGGAGCCUGAUUGGAUUUGGCGACGACCACAAUGGAUGAUGUCAUCCAUCUCACUUGGAAAUGGCCCAAUUGUGCCAUGGGCCCUGCCUGUGUGAAUGAUGAACUGUGCUAAUAGCAACUCUGUUAGAGCUAAUGCUUAGUGACAAGGAGAAAGCCUGGCAGUAGAAAGAAAGAAGAGAGCUGCACAAAAUGAGGGCUGCUUUAGCAGGAAAUGUAGCUGCCUUCAGGCUGUCUUUUGACCUGUUCUUGUUAGUUUUGAAUAAAAUACUCCUACUGUGAUAGUGCAAGCCUCCAGAGCACUGUGCUGAAGUGUCUCGUAUGGCAAAGUGGGAGAAUGUUAUGGUUGUAAAUCACAGACAAGCCUUCAAAGGCACUGGCUUGCCUUUUAUGACAGCCAGCACUCAGUCCAGAACAGUGUGUAAGAUUGGUGUUGAACAGAGUGUGACAGUCUAUGAGACAGAGUCAGAUACAAAAAUGUACUCUCACUGUAUACUGUUGGUCUGUGUAGCUGAGAUUUGUCAUAGGAAGUGUAGGAUUGACUGAGUCGCACUUACCCCUCCUCUCUCCACCAAUCUGAAGUGACAGAGAUGGAGACGGAGUGUUUCAGCAGAGGAAACCCAUCUGUCACCCUAGCAACUGGGGGAGAAGGAGGGGUAAUCCAACAGAGACACAGCACAGGCCUGUCAAUCAUGCCACCUCCUGGAGCUUCUGGUUGUGAAGGGAGAGGAUGAAGAGUGGAUCAGUAUUAAGGUAAGGACAGGCAGGAAGAAGAGGUGCGCAGUGACUAAAAUGUAACACAGAACAUUUGAUGAUAUAUUACUCUGUGCACCUGGACUGUUGUUAAACUCACUGAGCAUAACACAUGCUGAAUUGAAUUGCUUUUUGGAUCUCACAAAGUCAUGUCCAGAGAUAUUCUUGUUACUGCUUCAGAAUCAAUACUGAAAAAAAAUCAAUGUUUGAAAGAGAAAUAGCUCUCUGUUGGUUUAGAGUGAUCUUUUAAAGCUGGUCAAAGGUUCUUGGACAGAUGCCAUUUAAUAUAAACCUCUCAGAUUUGGAAGAGCCUUCAUUAUUUUUAACCCCGGGUAAUUUUUUGACAGACGAAACUAGGCUUAGACAUCAAGAACCAGUUUCAACUUGGACCCAGUUUUGAAUGCCUGAGAUUCGUGGAUUCAACAAGUCACACGAAUUUUGGUUCCACUUUUAGGUUCAUGACGGCUGCAAAAAUCUUUCGGGACUAAUAUUUAGAGAGAUCGACAGUAGCUGUCCAACAAAGUCUAACUCAUGGACUUGAAGUGUGGAUGUUCUGUUAUUAUUUGUGAAGUAGUACAUAAACAAAAUUGUGAGAGAAAUCAUGCAAAGAUAAUGACAUAGUGCAGAUGCAGUUGCACAAACAUUUCAGACAGUAUGGGGAAAACUGUCACAUCAUAUCACAUCAACAGACUCAUUUUCCAUUUAUAUGUAGAAUUGUUAUCUCUCUAUCCACCUACAUUGUACUGUACAAUUUGUAUCAAUCAUUUUGUACCAUGUCAUAUCAUAUUGUUUCUCAUCGCAUCAUGUUGCACCAUAUCACAUAGUAACGUAGAGAACAUAUUUUUCAUAUCAUUUCAUUAUCUUGUGUUUUCUACAAUAUUGUAUAGUUUUGUAAUUGAUUGUAUCCUAUUGAAUAGUACCACAUCAGUCUUAUGGUGUCCUGUUUAAAAGACUAUGGUGCCCUAAACUAAGUUGUUAAAGUUUAAUAUUGUGUAGAAUAGUAUAGUUACAGAAAAUUAAAACUAAAGUAAACGUUUUGGAUGAAGAAACAAGCUAGUGAUUUCAGGUGAUUCCGUGUUAUCAAAAAGAAGGAAACUAGAGAAAAAUGGGAAUUAUUAAUUUGUAUGAUGUAAAUACUAAAACAUGCCCACAUUACCAUGACAACUUAGCAAAGCUGACUUCAACUUUGAUGAAAAUAACAUGGUGGGAGUUCAUCUUCAGAACCACUUAGCUAUUUUGAUUCAGACUGAAAUUUCUCUUUCUUUAGAUCAGAUAACCUCAGUGUUACCUGAACAACAUUCCUUAUAAGAAAUCUUUAUAAAAUACCUCAACAUCCACUGGCGGAAAAUUUACAGCGAUUUAUUUAGGACAAAUUCAGACAGUUUUUGGUUCCUCCUUGAUUCAAUAUCUGGUGAUAUCUAAAAGUUGAAUUUUGUGGUUUUGAGUGAAAUCACUCCAGACACGAAUUAAAGGUUGAACAUAUGGCAGAUUGUGAUCUCUAACCUCUGCACCAAUAAAGUUGUGUUUAAUACUCAUGAGUAGGACCUAAAACUGUCAAUCGUUUAUUUUCAAAAAGUGUGUUUGUGGUGUUGAAUGCAAAAAGGAUUUGUAGUUUAGUGUACCACUGAAACAGGAGGAUGAAAAAAAGAAAAUGCUCCACAGCUUUUGUUAUUUAUAAGGCAUGUGCUGACAAUAAUAUGCAGUAAUGAAAUAUCUGCCACUGAACAUAAUAACUUCUUCUUUGAUCUCAACCUGUUAACGUUUGGUGAUAGUAAUAUUUCAAGCAUUAGUUCCUCCACAACAUGUGGUCUGAAGCCUUAGGAGAUACAGUACAUGGUACCAAGACUACAAGCUGUCAACAUGGAUUCCAGGAGCUUCACAGUGACCUUGUAUGAACCGAUAAGUCCUGUAUCCUCCCGCUCCAUCUCAGUGUCAGCAUAAGACAUGACACAUGUCAAAAACCGUUAGGCACAGCCAUGUCAGAGGAGCUCAAAUAAAACACACACGUGCCCUGAAAUUAUUGUAUGCAAAGACAAGCAACAGAAAAAGAUUCAUGAGGCUGUUUCACAAACCAGGGUACUCUUCUUCUCUCUUUAGUCCUGCUAAAUAUUGCAGCUGGCAUGGAUUAGGAUCAGCUCUGUUUGUGUUUCUGCGUCUUUGAUGAGGAGUGCAGACGUCAACGGAAGCAUCAAAUAAUCCUGUUCUUGUCUGAAAACAUCCGAGGAGCUGGACUAUUGCCAUACAUGAGUAAUUUUAUGCUUCAUGAAGUGAAAUUUCUUGGUAUGAUUUAUUAUUGUUUAUGACAGGAGGACAAAUCUCAACCCCACGUCCUUCAGCAGAGCACAUUUCCCACUAUGAGGCCAUGUAAUCCUCUGAGCCCUGCUGAUCCCAGAACCACAGGGAGACCAGUAGAAACCCAUAACCCAGCCCCGUUCUGGGCAGCCAAAACAGAUCCUUUCCCCCUAGGAGUCCUGAUACAGACACAGAGGGGAUAAUGGCCUCCUUUUGAAAAGUCAGUGUGUGGUACAUUGCCAUAACAUCAGUAAUCAAAUCUUCUUUACUGACCAAAUAGCAGGGUUAAGAACUGUGUGGAAGGCCAAAUCUGGAUGCUUGUCAUCAUUUUCCUCUUAAGUUACUAAAAGCAUGAAAACCAAGCUGCAGAUAUAAGUCAAGGAUUUUGACUGCAGCCUUCAUUUCCAGAACUUAUGACUCAACUUAGACUCAAGCACUUUUGACCCAGACUUGAACUUGAGCACUGAAUGUAUUAAGACUUUAAAGCUGAAGAGAAGAAUUCAAACUUCUUUAUUGAGACAGACUUUUAUUCUUUUGUUGUUAUUUUAGUAUAAGCCCUUUUGAUAGAGGGAUGGCAUGUGUGUGUUCACCUGCAUGCACAAUCAAAUCACGUGUUUUCUUGUUGAACGACAACUCCUGCCAGGAUGCUUUGGGAGGUGCCAAUUGUGUGUUAUGCUCGACAAUAUUUUGUAAUGAGUGCCAGGAAAGGCAGCGCAACAUGUUCAGUACAUAUUUAAGAAGCCAUGAAAAAAGGCAAGGGACAAAUUCAAACUUUUACAGACAUCUGUCCAGCAUACAGCCAGACAAAGACAAUGAGAUGCUGUAGGUAGCACGUUUAUAGUAUGUUACUGUUGACACAGUCAUGUCAGUAACCAAGAGGAAUCAACCCAGUGAUCUCCAGAGUUUGGGCUGUAAAAUUCUGAUUGAUAGCAUUGAUAGUGUAAUUUCAAGUCACCUGCAGUAACCCAACUUCAUAAUACAAGAACUUUAUUUAUCCCCGAAGGGCAAUUCAUUAAAAUCAACUUCAUGUAUAAGAAUUGAUGAGUGUGUCCUCUUACUGAAAUGCAUUUACGCACAAUGCACAGCACUGUUACUCGUGCCAGACAUGCUGACAGGAUCUGUCAGCAUCUAAUGUAAAUCGAUGAAAUGUGUUUUCAAUUCAUCCCAAAGGUCCCACACAGUCAGCUGAGGUUUAUACAGUGAAGAGUUUCAGGCAAAGCAGCGGUCCUCCUUUCAAUAAACAACAUCAAUAAUGGGGAUUCAACUCUAACCCGCAGACUCAGAUUCUUUUAUGGACUUGACUCAGACUUUAACUCUGAGGAUUCAACUUGGACUCAACAUUUAGUGACUCAACACUGGCAUGCACAGAAGAGGAGAGAAAAAGUCAUAGUGAUAAAGGUUUCUCAUACACCCCCUUAAAAAUGUUAGAGACUUACUCUGAACCUUUAAACAAAGAAACCUUUUUAAAACAAUUAACACUUUCCCCCUCCAUUUUAUUCUCCUUUACAGCCUACCUACCUUUGUUGCUGACUGCAUAACAGUUACAGGAUCAUUUUUGUCGCCAACUCUGGAACACUGACUUGACAUUUAUGUGAUGAACAGGAAUAUUGUCUGUCAAAUCUGCAAAUAAUGUGAUUAUUUUAGUCUGUUCUGUACACACAGUAUCUGUUGAAUACCACUCAGUCAAUAAAUGGGGAUCUCCUCUGAAAAAAACUCACUUGUGUUUCCAUUUUUUUCUUUGUUUUGUAGAUUUUUGUGGAAUCAGUGAAAGGGCUGCAGAUUUUAAGCCAUAUCACACAAAUGUUAAUGAUGAUUUGGGGAUGCAAGACGUAUUUGGACCUGAAAUGAUAUCCUUGGUCUGAGCCUGUAGAAUUCUGUAUCUCUGUUCUUGACGUGGGUCCCUCUGGCUUUAUUACAUCCACUAGAUCCUCACUUACCAGAUUUACCAGCCAGAAGGGAAGGGGGGGUGCUCAGGCUGGAAGUGUCAGACAACCCUCCCUUUCUUUUCCAACUAUCACAAAAGAGUGCUCUUCUUUUGUCACCUCUUUCAGUCUGUCUCUCUCUUUUUAAAAGGGGCACAUAGGGCGAUGGCGUACAGACUGGGCUAUUCGCCCGCGGAGACAGAGAGGCGCCGGGGGAAAUGAAGACCGAUUCCACCAGCAUGGCAGACUGGACUUGGAUCUGGUUCCAAGAACACUUGCACUCUUCACGAGUAGCUGUGGACAAACAAAUGACAGAAAGCACCGUCUCUUAACUCUCGCAGAGGCAAAGCUUUCAGAAUCU
This 7509-nucleotide long non-coding RNA is filed under the name Xyrichtys novacula (pearly razorfish). The record is from RNAcentral. Lineage: Eukaryota; Metazoa; Chordata; Actinopteri; Labriformes; Labridae.